Molecule: long non-coding RNA, 1634 nt
Filed under: Gallus gallus (chicken)
Lineage: Eukaryota; Metazoa; Chordata; Aves; Galliformes; Phasianidae
Source: RNAcentral
CACUUUUUGGGUGGAAGGGGCAGGACUUGAAAGCUGCCUGCAGCCAAGCACUUGCUCCAUCCAUAUGGGUGCAAGAUGCCCACCUCUGCUUACUGCCAUCCGUACCUUUUUCCUUUUGCCAAUAGCCGGUGGUUGAACUCCAUUCACUAAUAAACUGCUCAGCUGCUUUGAUACAAAAUCCUUCCGCAGAUGGAUGUUGAUAAAACCAGGACCAGCAAUUUCAACCUUCUCAAUGCAUUCGUUUGCAGGAAUAUGUUUGGUUAUUUUCUCAGCGAUCUCCCUUGGACUAACCUUCUGUUCCUUGGUUUUGAGCAGUAUCUGUGUUAUGCCCAUGGCGCUGUUGCACUGAUAAUCCCCAAAUUUGGGCUGCUGGCUCGGUGUCACCACUAGUGGAGGGUUUUCUAACUCCGGGUAAGCAGCCUGAAUGGCAGCUCCAAAGAUCUCCUGAAGACGGCUGUUGAUAUUAAUCAUGCUUUUCACUGUUUUACUUUGUUCCUCUUGAAGGCUCUUCUGAAGGAAAUUCAACCGAUACUUCAGUUUAGCGUUUUCGUCUCGCAACCCUUCCAAACUUGGGGAGAUUCCCAGGCACCCAAAGUUCUUCAGAUGCUCAAUUUCUGCAGUUAGUGACUUAAUCUCGUUUUCCUGCCGUGCCAGCCGGGCCGCCGCCUCCGCCACGCGUGCCUCCAUCCUCCCGCUGCGGGAGCGAGCGGAAGCGGAAGUGGCAACGCCAGAGCGGAAGCGGAAACGACGAAACGAGGGACAGCGCCCCCGGGCGGAGGGGAGGGCCCCGCGAGUCAGGGCCGCGGCGGGGCAGGGGUGACGUCAUGCAGCACGGCAUGCAGGAGACAAGAGCAGGCGAGGACCCACGGGUGUGCAGAACGGUUGCUUUAUUCGAAAACCCCGCACGGAGCGAGGGGCCGCCACCCUCCGCCCGCGGCUUCAACGGGUGCUGCGGUCCCACAGCCCUGCAGUGCACCGCUGCAGUAACAGUGCGGCCCGCGGGCUCGCGCUUCCCGUGCAGCACCUGCGUGCGUCACGCGGCCCUCGGGCCUCGCUCACCGCACGCACGGCCGCCCCACACACAGGCAGCUGCACCGUUCCUCCACCGCCGCUUAUUGCCGUCACGCUGCUAAAAGGCUGAGCUGUACAAAAGGUUUAAACAGCAUUAUUUAAGAAUAACAGCACCAGAUGCUGCUUUUUUUUUUUGUUGGUGUUGUUCUUAUUUAAAAUUCUAUUUCCCAAAAAUACAUUCCUAAAUAUACAAACUAUACAAUCUUGUCACUUUAAUGCUGGUUUCUGUGAUGAUAUAUGUCAACCUGAAGUCCUUAAAACAUCCACGCACUGACAGAAGCUCUAACGUAAAAAGGCCUUGGUACCUCCAUAUACCACAUAAAUAACUUCAAAAAAACCCCAACAAACUGCAGUUGUAGAAGUGUCCCCAGAGCAAAUACUUUAUGGUGAUCACACGUCAUCUGCAGAGAGUGUUGGAAUGUUUAUCCUGGGCCGUGUGAAAAAUGCCAUUUUCUCUCUAGAAGAAGAAGAUCAGCUGUUAGUGCAGUAGAGGUCUCGCCAGAAACGUGCAUCAUCUGCAUUAACACGCAUCCCCCCCUCGGUCACCCCCAAGAACAGCAGCA